AUGAAGAAGAGAUGGAGCCGCGGCAGAAGCAUUCCUGCUCGUAUCAGACAGCUGUGGAUGGCAAUGGGUCAUUUCACUCCAUUAUGGUUUCUGGCAACCCUGGUGGUCUCUGCCUCCUUGGAAAACAGCAGCGAUGAGCACUGUGGGGACAACUCACUCCUUGUUCAGCCACAGUGGAUGUCUUCAUGGCCAGGCUCUAGCUGCAUCAUCUGUCACAGAGAGAAGCAAAAUGACAAAGAGAGGAAAAGAUCAGUAAAUUUUAAGCUGGAGAAGAAAGACCAUUCAACCCGAGUGGAAGCAGAUAAAUGGGGAAUCAUUACCUACCCUGCCUUCAUCUUCACACCAAGCGGCCUCGAGUGCCACUUGCCUGGGCACUGUCACAAGAGAUGUGGCAAUGUGCAGCCAUGA
This 408-nucleotide long non-coding RNA is filed under the name Numida meleagris (helmeted guineafowl). Its description in RNAcentral is "lncRNA (ENSNMEG00000023093.1)". Lineage: Eukaryota; Metazoa; Chordata; Aves; Galliformes; Numididae. The record is from RNAcentral.